UACAGAGGUCUCAAGCGUUGUUCGGAAUUACUGGGCGUAAAGUGUGCGCAGGCGGUCCCGCAAGUCAGGCGUGAAAUCCCCGGGCUUAACCUGGGAAUGGCACUUGAAACUACGGGACUGGAGUAUGGCAGAGGGAGGUGGAAUUCCACGUGUAGCGGUGAAAUGCGUAGAGAUGUGGAGGAACACCAGUGGCGAAGGCGACUACCUGGCCUGUUUCUUGACGCUGAGGCGCGAAAGCUAGGGGAGCAAACGGG
RNAcentral lists this ribosomal RNA (254 nucleotides) under uncultured bacterium. RNAcentral describes it as "partial 16S ribosomal RNA". It matches the Rfam family "Bacterial small subunit ribosomal RNA", at positions 524 to 776 of the family's 1533-position model. The record is from RNAcentral.